Molecule: ribosomal RNA, 489 nt
Filed under: [Candida] sp.
Lineage: Eukaryota; Fungi; Ascomycota; Saccharomycetes; Saccharomycetales
Description: Candida sp. (in: Saccharomycetales) partial large subunit ribosomal RNA
Rfam family: Eukaryotic large subunit ribosomal RNA
Source: RNAcentral
AAGAAGGUAACUUUGGAAUUGGCUCUUGUCUAUGUUCCUUGGAACAGGACGUCACAGAGGGUGAGAAUCCCGUGCGAUGAGAUGUCCAAUUCUAUGUAAAGUGCUUUCGAAGAGUCGAGUUGUUUGGGAAUGCAGCUCUAAGUGGGUGGUAAAUUCCAUCUAAAGCUAAAUAUUGGCGAGAGACCGAUAGCGAACAAGUACAGUGAUGGAAAGAUGAAAAGAACUUUGAAAAGAGAGUGAAAAAGUACGUGAAAUUGUUGAAAGGGAAGGGCUUGAGAUCAGACUUGGUAUUUUGUGUUCCUUAUCCUUCUUGGAUUAGGUUCCUCACAGCUUACCGGGCCAGCAUCGGUUUGGAUGGCAGGAUAAUGACAUUGGAAUGUAGCUUUGCUUCGGUGAAGUGUUAUAGACUUUGUUGAUACUGCCUAUCUAGACCGAGGACUGCGUCUUUGACUAGGAUGCUAGCGUAAUGAUCUUAAGCCGCCCGUCUUG